This 2088-nucleotide small RNA is filed under the name Pongo abelii (Sumatran orangutan). RNAcentral describes it as "retained intron". The stretch from base 1190 to 1261 matches the Rfam family "mir-622 microRNA precursor family". The record is from RNAcentral. Lineage: Eukaryota; Metazoa; Chordata; Mammalia; Primates; Hominidae.
GUCGUCGGCAAAGCCUGAGUCCUGUGCUUUCUCUCUCCCCAGACAGCAUGAACUUCACCACUCGCUCCACCUUCUCCACCAACUACCGGUCCCUGGGCUCUGUCCAGGCGCCCAGCUACGGCGCCCGGCCGGUCAGCAGCGCUGCCAGCGUCUAUGCAGGCGCUGGGGGCUCUGGUUCCCGGAUCUCCGUGUCCCGCUCCACCAGCUUCAGGGGCGGCAUGGGGUCCGGGGGCCUGGCCACGGGGAUAGCCGGGGGUCUGGCAGGAAUGGGAGGCAUCCAGAACGAGAAGGAGACCAUGCAAAGCCUGAACGACCGCCUGGCCUCUUAUCUGGACAGAGUGAGGAGCCUGGAGACCGAGAACCGGAGGCUGGAGAGCAAAAUCCGGGAGCACUUGGAGAAGAAGGGACCCCAGGUCAGAGACUGGAGCCAUUACUUCAAGAUCAUCGAGGACCUGAGGGCUCAGAUCUUCGCAAAUACUGUGGACAAUGCCCGCAUCGUUCUGCAGAUUGACAAUGCCCGUCUUGCUGCUGAUGACUUUAGAGUCAAGUAAGUUUGGGGGCUAAAGAGCUGGGGGUCCAGGGGUGGAGCUAAGAAGGAUCUGCUCCCCAGGCAGGGUCAGUUAGGGGCUCACAGUGGGAUCCUGUUAGGUGUGGGUGGGUGAGAGUCAGGGUCCAUCAGUGUAUUCAUUUAACUGUUCAUUUGUAUAACCCCGUUUAAGAAUACUGUCCUCCAAGUGCCAAGAAUGGUGCUCAGGGGAUUACCACCUAAUUGCUGACUCAAGUUGCUGGUUUGCAAUGGGCACAGAACUUCUCUUAGUAGGUGGCAUGAGUUGAGAAGGUUCUGGAUCAGAGAUAGGGGCCCCUCUGAUCACCUCCACUCCUACAGGUAUGAGACAGAGCUGGCCAUGCGCCAGUCUGUGGAGAACGACAUCCACGGGCUCCGCAAGGUCAUUGAUGACACCAAUGUCACUCGACUGCAGCUGGAGACAGAGAUCGAGGCUCUCAAGGAGGAGCUGCUCUUUAUGAAGAAGAACCACGAAGAGGAAGUAAAAGGCCUUCAAGCCCAGAUUGCCAGCUCUGGGUUGACCGUGGAGGUAGAUGCCCCCAAAUCUCAGGACCUCGCCAAGAUCAUGGCAGACAUCCGGGCCCAAUAUGACGAGCUGGCUCGGAAGAACCGAGAGGAGCUAGACAAGUACUGGUCUCAGCAGAUUGAGGAGAGCACCACAGUGGUCACCACACAGUCUGCCGAGGUUGGAGCUGCUGAGACGACGCUCACAGAGCUGAGACGUACAGUCCAGUCCUUGGAGAUCGACCUGGACUCCAUGAGAAAUCUGAAGGCCAGCUUGGAGAACAGCCUGAGGGAGGUGGAGGCCCGCUACGCCCUACAGAUGGAGCAGCUCAACGGGAUCCUGCUGCACCUUGAGUCAGAGCUGGCACAGACCCGGGCAGAGGGACAGCGCCAGGCCCAGGAGUAUGAGGCCCUGCUGAACAUCAAGGUCAAGCUGGAGGCUGAGAUCGCCACCUACCGCCGCCUGCUGGAAGAUGGCGAAGACUUUAAGUGAGUGGGGCUCUCCUACCCACACGUGCUGGGAUCAGGAGAUCACUUCUCCCCAAAGUCUGAGCUUUUGGAAGCACCCCAUGUGUCUGUUCAUUGGUAUCCACUGAGCACUGGGACAUUGCUCCGUGGGUGCUCCUGUGUCUUCAAGGGAGUAACAGUUACAGAGGUUUCCCCCUUGAAGAAAGCAAACUAAGUAUUGUCCCUAGCUGUACUUAGUAUGCAAAUGAAGUUUGGCCUUGGGUUUCCCUUUUCUGGAGGAAGAGGCUGAGGGAGAUUUGGAGAUAAAGGUAGAGGUCAGGAGGCUUUUUCCCUCUACCUUUCUUGUCUCCCUUCUACUCCACGGGGCUGUUUAUAACUUGGGCUUGGUCUUCUGUUACAGUCUUGGUGAUGCCUUGGACAGCAGCAACUCCAUGCAAACCAUCCAAAAGACCACCACCCGCCGGAUAGUGGAUGGCAAAGUGGUGUCUGAGACCAAUGACACCAAAGUUCUGAGGCAUUAAGCCAGCAGAAGCAGGGUGCCCUUUGGGGAG